This 114-nucleotide non-coding RNA is filed under the name Gordonia sihwensis. RNAcentral describes it as "SAM-IV sequence". It matches the Rfam family "SAM (S-adenosyl methionine) riboswitch aptamer". Rfam says of the family: SAM-IV is a mRNA element that regulates gene expression via direct sensing of S-adenosylmethionine (SAM or AdoMet). SAM-IV riboswitches share conserved nucleotide positions with the previously described SAM-I riboswitches sequence analysis and molecular recognition experiments suggest that SAM-I and SAM-IV riboswitches share similar ligand binding sites, but have different scaffolds. The record is from RNAcentral. Lineage: Bacteria; Bacillati; Actinomycetota; Actinomycetes; Mycobacteriales; Gordoniaceae. RNAcentral also lists the same sequence under 1 other name.
GGUCACGAGAACCGGUGCGAAGCCCUGGCUGGCCGGUCGGCAACCCUCCACCGCGGUGGGGUGCUCCAGGUGACGACCCGGCCGGCGUCGACCGACGUCCGGCAAGUGCGGAGA